GUAAAGUUUGAAUCUUGCUUUUGUUCUAUUAAGAAUUAAAUCUAUAUAUAAUUAUGAAAUUUAAAUAUAAGAAUAGUGUAGUAGAUAGUUUUAGGAAACAAUAAUUUGGGCCUAGUUAAAUUCAUAGGACUGACUAAAAUCGUGCCAGCCGUCGCGGUUAGACGAAGAGUUCGAGUAGAAUGAAGUGUUUAUUUUAAUUAACGUUAGAUUAAUUUAGUUGAAUUUAUUUUUUUUAAAAGUGAAAUUUAUAUAAAAUGUUAUUAUUUCUAUAAUAAUUUGUUGGAAUUAAAAAAUUUAGGACAAAGACCAGGAUUAGAUACCCUGUUAUUCUAAAUAAUGAAUAAAAAUGGGGUAGUAAAAGUUGUUCUUCAAACCCAAAGAUUUUGGCGGCAUUUUAACCAAAUAGAGGAGCUUGCCCCAUAAUCGAUAGACCUCGUUUUAUCUUGCCUUUAAUUAUGUAGCUUGUAUACCGCCGUUGUCAGAUUACUCUAGAAGGAUGUUUUCAAGAAAAAUAGUUUUUUAACUUCAGGUCAAGGUGCAGUUUAUGUAGAGGUGGAGGUGAGCUACAAUUUUUUUAAAAAGUACGGAUGUCUAAUUUAAAAAUUAAUUGAAGGUGGAUUUAUUAGUAAGUUAGUUUAAGUAAAAUUAACUGAAUAAGGUAAUAAAAUGUGCACAUAUCGCCCGUCACUCUCUUCUUAAGAGGAGAUAAGUCGUAACAAAGUAGAUGUACUGGAAAGUGCCUCUAGAAUGAA
This 752-nucleotide non-coding RNA is filed under the name Daphnia laevis. RNAcentral describes it as "12S ribosomal RNA". The stretch from base 349 to 745 matches the Rfam family "Microsporidia small subunit ribosomal RNA", at positions 751 to 1303 of the family's 1311-position model. Lineage: Eukaryota; Metazoa; Arthropoda; Branchiopoda; Diplostraca; Daphniidae. The record is from RNAcentral.